This 429-nucleotide ribosomal RNA is filed under the name uncultured bacterium. Its description in RNAcentral is "bacterial SSU rRNA". It matches the Rfam family "Bacterial small subunit ribosomal RNA", at positions 355 to 775 of the family's 1533-position model. The record is from RNAcentral.
UGGGGAAUAUUGGGCAAUGGGCGAAAGCCUGACCCAGCCACGCCGCGUGAGUGAUGAAGGCCUUCGGGUCGUAAAGCUCUGUGGGGAGGGACGAAUAAGUCCGGUGCUAAUAUCACCGGGCCCUGACGGUACCUCCUUAGCAAGCACCGGCUAACCAUGUGCCAGCAGCCGCGGUAAUACAUGGGGUGCAAACGUUGCUCGGAAUUAUUGGGCGUAAAGCGCACGUAGGCGGUCCGUUAAGUCGAAUGUGAAAUCCCCCGGCUCAACCGGGGAAGUGCAUCCGAAACUGGCGGGCUAGAGUACGAAAGAGGGUCGCGGAAUUCCCGGUGUAGAGGUGAAAUUCGUAGAUAUCGGGAGGAACACCGGUGGCGAAGGCGGCGACCUGGGGCGAUACUGACGCUGAGGUGCGAAAGCGUGGGGAGCAAACAG